GAGAAGGUCAUUUCCCUCUGUGAGCUCAGUUUUCUCCUCUAUAAUUUAGAGGGCGAGUGCAACAAAAGAUCUCUAACACUGCUUUCCAGCUUUAUCCUUCUUUGUUCUAAAACUGUUUUGUAGUGUGAAUAAUCACCUCAUCAUUUAUUCAUCAUCUUUUUAAUCUGGGGUUGUCAUUCUGGGCCGCCUUAAUCAAGAGGGGUUCACCUGAAUGGGUACUAACAGGUAGUCUGAAUUCGUCAUUUCUUUCCAUUCUUCUUUUGGGAUGAAGUGAAAUGAGUCAUAAGUGAGGAGGUUAUCAAAGCACACACAGAUCAACAGGAAGACAGAGACAGGAAGAGAGGUUGCGAGACGUCAGCAUUUUCCCCAGGCAGCUUGAAAGCAAAAGCAGAGCCCUGGUUGUUUGCUCACAGCUUUUGUACACUGACCUGUCAGCAUUGGACUCCUGGCCAUGGGGGCAGAGCCACGAGCCUUUCCUGGAACCUGGCAGGCCUCACAUGCAAGUGGCUGUCCUGCAGGUGUCUAUGCAGGAGAGAAAGUCUGUGAACUGUGUGAAUUCCAGGAAGUGAGUCUAGGGUCAGUCCUGGGGCAUGGCUUGCCCCUGCCUUUACCCUGAUUGACUAUUUCUUGAAAUUCUCCCUAUACCGAAAAGUGCCUUGAAAGAAUUUUUUCCUUAGUAUUUCUGCUGUGGGAAAUUAAGAGCCUCUUCUUGGUGAUAGUAAAAUUAAGUGAUUUUGUACCAUUGGUGGCUUUUGGUGGUAUAAACCUAUUCUUCUGGAAGGAGCCUAUGGGCUAAGAAUACUUAUUAGCAUAUUUUGAAGGAAAUUGCCAGCAAAAUAUGAUCUGCCUCUAAAUCAUAAAAAUUCCUCAAUUUGUAGAUGUAUAACCACACCACUGACAGAAAAGAAUAACUUGGUUUACCUUAGCAGCCAUUUUAUGAGUACCCAUUCUUUGUCCAGCAGUGUGCUAACGGUGAAGAGAUCAGACCCUCCUUACUGUAUUUUAAUAUUCCCGCAUGUCCUCCUCUUGUGGACUGAAUGCUUAUGUCCUCCCAUAAUUCAUAUUUGGAAACUCUACCCCUCCCCCACCAGUGUGAUGUAUUAGGAGGUGGGGCCUUCGGGAGGUAAUUAGGGUUAGACGAGGUCAUGUGGAUGGAGCACUCACGAAUGGGAUUAGUGUCUUUAUGAGUCACGAGAAAGCUUGCUUCCUCUCUCUGCUCACCACCAUGGAAGGAUACGUGCGAAAGUUGACAGCUGCAACCCAGAAGAGGACCCUCACUAGGACCUGGCCAUGCUAGCACCCCGAUCUCUGACUUCCAGCCUUCAGAACUGUGAGAAACAAAUCCCUGUUGUUUAUAAGCAUCCCAGUCUAUGUACUUUGUGAUAGCAGCCUGAACUAAGAAACCCUCUUAGUGUCAGUAUUUUCCAGAACCACAUGCUGGUCUAUUUUUCCUACCUAGGAUUUUGUGAUGUGUAACAGCACUCAAUAAAUUCCAGUUUAUCUUUGGUUGUUUAUAAAGCAGCAAACUUGCCAAAAUUGUCUAUUAUGCAUUUUGACUCUAUGCCAGUCAGUAAUUUUCUAGGAAUGGUUGUUUUCUAAUAUAGUCUUCAAUUCAUAGUAUGCUGCUGGAUUAUUUGACAUUACUGACUCAUCCAUCCUAUAGUCUCAGUACAAUUAUUAUGACAGCUGACAUCAUUUACCAUAGGGAAGGGAGUGGAACUUACUCUUCCAGUGGUGACUUGACUCUGUUUAUAGAUAAUAUCAGAAGGUUGUUUUUGGUAAUCAUUUUCAAAAACAAUAACCCUCUUGUAAAUUGUUUUAACAGACUCUCAUGCCAUCAGAAAAUAUACUUUGGCUAUAUUUUAUCCUUAGAAUUUUGGCUGAACUGAUGCAGGUAAAUAUCACAAAGGUAUAGGCUAACCUGGGGUAGGAUAUACUCCUGAAAACGUGGUAGAAUGUCAAAGUUCUCUAGACACCUCAUUAUUUGACAAAAGUUGUUGGUAAGGGACCCAGGGACGCUACAAGCACCAUAUCUGUUAUGAAAAUGGUAACUGAACCCCAAACUCUAUAAGAAAAUGAUUAAAAUCCAAAUCUGAAUAUGGAGUUUUAAAGGGAAGGGUGUAGAAAAGGUGAUAAGAAGUUGUUGAAACAACUUGCUCAACAAUUUUUAUGUGGACUGUGGUGGUAGUGACUAUCAGAACAAGACUGGAAAUGAUUUCAGCACCCCCUUUGGCAUGCUGUGUAAAUGCAAGAGAGGGCAGCUUUAAAUUGAAUGUGUUUAGUGUAAAUUGAACAUUUUAGUCUGCGGGCCCAUUUCUACCCCUGCCUUACAGUCUUGCUCUCGAUGCUUCUUGGUUGUGGGACAUGAAGGAGUGGCUGGGAUUAGCUGUGCUCCCAGCUCACUCUCCUCCUGCUUUCUUGGUAGCUGCACCUUGAGUUGACCUUAAUGGUCUCUCCCAAGGUUGGCUGGAGCUGUCGUUGUGCUCUUGGAUCCACUCUUCCUUCAGAUCCUAAGAAAACACAACUCAAAAGAGGAUUGCGAGCUUUUGCCACCUUUGAUCUCUGAGCAGGAAAGGUGACUGUAAUAUGAUUAAUGAGCUCAGCUGGACUUUGCCCAGUGGCCAGGGCAUGGUGUGGCCUCCCAGAACAUUUAGAGGAGGAAUGGGAAGAGACUCAGCAUGCUCUGAUGGCAGUUGGCCUCUUGGAAAUGUGUAGGCUUGGAGGAGGUGUCCCAUCCCAGCAGGAUCUCCUGUCAUGGACUGAGAGAGAGACAUGCUGAAUGGGAUGGCCACCCACUCACUCAAAAAGAAUAAUUCCACCCUUCUGCUAGCUGUCUGUUCCCUCUGAUUUAAGCAUGUUCCUGUUAAAUGUGGCAGAAUCUGAAUUAGUGGGGGAAAUGGGCUUGAGUGGCAUAUAGAGAGGGGCUUAGCUAGGAGGGAGAACCAGGCAAAAGGGAGAUGACGUAGACCAUGAACAGAUGCGGUGCUCCAGCUCAGAAAGACUAUCAUCGCUACCUAAACCUUACUGAGUUUAGGCUGUGCCUAUUACCUUCUUGGUAAACUGUGUAAUGUUUAUUGUCCCUUAUGGAUUCAGUUCUUCUCAAUAAGUUUUUCUUUCUUUUGAGAAAUGUCCCCUCCUGGUGAAGGGAGGUCUCUGAACUGCUUGGGCAUAGGAUUGGUUGUACCUGCUGUAGCUAUAUAGCGGUGCCUUCUCUGGGUGGAGGGCUUGAGCGGGGGGUGGAUCUGACCUGCUCAGCUUACUGAGCUGAGCCCUGGCCCAGGGCUGGGUCAGCUGAAGGAAGGAACAUCUUUGUGUAAUUGGUCUGCAUUUUUCUAGUUUGCACAAAGUCCUCUUAAAGUGCCAGUAGCAUGUGACCACCAUCCCAGGCGGGUCAAGGAGCCGUGUGCAGUGGCUUCCUGGUCAACAUGGAUAGCUCAUGGGUACAUCUGAACAGAGUCUAUUCCUCUUUAGGUUGCUGCCUACCACUCUGGUAUCUGAUCAGUGGCAAAACCUUGACCUUCAAGAGUUCCGUGAAUGUGCUUGUCUAACUGCUCUUGAGGAAGGCCCAGGUUCCCUCCAGCGUGGGCUCUGACAAUAAACCUUCGACUCUGAGAGGACUCUGAAGACUUGAAUUUUCCAUCCUACUCCACCUCCAAUAGUUGUUUGAUCUAGGGGUCCUCAGCUCGCACCAGAUCUGAAGGUGCGGAGGGAAGGAACGGAAGAGAGAAGCUGAGAAUUCUCUCCCUGUCCAGCAUCGCCAGUGCCACCAGCCCUGUGUCCAGUUUCCUUAUCCUGUGGUUGACAAUGCAACAGCAGACCGGCCAAUACCAGCCCCCUCUCCUCAAUCGCUUCCCAGGAUUGUUUAUAGGAGACCAACAUUUCAGAGAGCAAGCGCUACUUCAACAUAUCCGUAGGCAGCACACUGUCAUCCAUACCACAGAUCUUAUUUUAAACUAAUUACAUUAAGG
RNAcentral lists this long non-coding RNA (3968 nucleotides) under Equus caballus (horse). RNAcentral describes it as "lncRNA (ENSECAG00000055926.1)". Lineage: Eukaryota; Metazoa; Chordata; Mammalia; Perissodactyla; Equidae. The record is from RNAcentral.